Long non-coding RNA from Zophobas morio, 286 nucleotides. RefSeq lists it as uncharacterized. Lineage: Eukaryota; Metazoa; Arthropoda; Insecta; Coleoptera; Tenebrionidae. The transcript has 2 exons. The record is from RefSeq and is a predicted model, not a curated record.
AUUUUAACAAAAAAGGUCAUUAGGACAUUUUAAGAAACUUUAACUAAUAGACAGGGGAGACUUUUCUAAGGUAUUUGUUAGGUUAGACUACGUUAAAUCAUGCUCUUUUAUCUUGUAGGCCGGUCAUCCGGGUUUGGCCGAUGAAGGGAUAACAACCCGAAACCGGUACUAACAACGAAAAUAAAAUAGUAAACAGAAAGUCUUCUUCUUUUUAUAUUAACAAUAAGGUAGUACCACGUGCAUUGGGGUCAACAUCCAAAAAUAAAGUUUACUUUUUAAACCACAA